AAGUCGAACGCCCUCUUCGGAGGGAGUGGCAGACGGGUGAGUAACGCGUGGGAACGUGCCCUUCGGUACGGAACAACAGUUAGAAAUGACUGCUAAUACCGUAUACGACCUCCGGGUGAAAGAUUUGUCGCCGAAGGAUCGGCCCGCGUUAGAUUAGCUUGAUGGUGAGGUAAAGGCUCACCAUGGCGACGAUCUAUAGCUGUUCUGAGAGGAAGAUCAGCCACACUGGGACUGAGACACGGCCCAGACUCCUACGGGAGGCAGCAGUGGGGAAUAUUGGACAAUGGGCGAAAGCCUGAUCCAGCCAUGCCGCGUGGAUGAAGAAGGCCCUAGGGUUGUAAAGUCCUUUCAAUGGUGAAGAUAAUGACGGUAACCAUAGAAGAAGCCCCGGCUAAUUUCGUGCCAGCAGCCGCGGUAAUACGAAAGGGGCUAGCGUUGUUCGGAAUUACUGGGCGUAAAGCGCACGUAGGCGGCCUUGUAAGUUGGGGGUGAAAU
Molecule: ribosomal RNA, 495 nt
Filed under: uncultured bacterium
Lineage: Bacteria
Description: bacterial SSU rRNA
Rfam family: Bacterial small subunit ribosomal RNA
Source: RNAcentral